UACGGGAGGCAGCAGUGGGGAAUAUUGCACAAUGGGCGAAAGCCUGAUGCAGCUAUGCCGCGUGUAUGAAGAAGGCCUUAGGGUUGUAAAGUACUUUCAUCGGGGAGGAAAAACAAAACUAAUAAUUUUAUUUCUUGACGUUACCCGAAAAAGAAGCACCGGCUAACUCCGUGCCAGCAGCCGCGGUAAUACGGAGGGUGCUAGCGUUAAUCAGAAUUACUGGGCGUAAAGAGCACGUAGGUGGUUUUUUUAAGUCAGAUGUGAAAUCCCUGGGCUUAACCUAGGAACUGCAUUUUGAAACUGAAAUACUAGAGUAUCGUAGAGGGAGGUAGAAUUCUAGGUGUAGCGGUGAAAUGCGUAGAUAUCUGGAGGAAUACCUGUGGCGAAAGCGGCCUCCUAAACGAAUACUGACACUGAGGUGCGAAAGCGUGGGGAGCAAACAGGAUUAGAUACC
This 454-nucleotide ribosomal RNA is filed under the name uncultured bacterium. RNAcentral's name for it is "bacterial SSU rRNA". It matches the Rfam family "Bacterial small subunit ribosomal RNA", at positions 340 to 786 of the family's 1533-position model. The record is from RNAcentral.